AAAGCUCGCUGUUCACGAAUCGAGGGUAGGAGUCGCGAUGCAUCAACGUGUAAAUCUGCAAUUGCGCCUCGUCGAACGUGUGAGGCGUUGGCUCCACCAUGUUCCUGUUCACGAUCUCACGUACUCGGGAAUCCAGCGACACCUGACGGUCAGAACAAUCAUCAGUCGUGUGAGGUUAGGAAACGAACGUCGGCGGAGAGCACCGAUUAGCAACAAAGUGAAAAAUUAGUGCUCUAAAACAAAAUGGCAGAGUCAUCUUUUCUCUUUAAACUUCUCAUGUCAGUUACGAUGGAUACUAAUAUCCAAGGAUUUUCUGUCAAGAAUUCACAGAAUCGGUAUUGACAAAAUGCGAAUACAAAGGUCCCUGAUCACGAAUUCGAGGCCAGAGCAAGGAAAUUCAGGGCAGAAAAUGGUGAUAGAUUCAAGACUCAUCGCGAAGGUAUGUUCGGGCCGAACUUGUGGCAGAGAUUUUGGGUCAUCGCCAACAAAAGCUGCGAGGACGUUUAUCUGACGUCCGGAUUGUGGAAUGGAGGAGUAGAAUCCAAAAAAGAGAAGAGAGCAAACGCUCGUGGUAGAGGACAAGAAACGUUAGAAGCACGGCACUAAAGAGGGCACUGCAGCAUGUGCAAUGAAAGCCGGGAUGUUAUAGUAGCCGUGGAAUGAAGAGAAAGGAGGCGGAAGGACAACCAAGCGAGAGUGAAGAGAACUCGAAAUAGAAUUGAAAAUACACGUAUACAAAUAUUCAUAUUAUAUUGUAUAUAUAUAUACGUGAGUGUAUACGACAACAGAAAUCGGGAUAUUGGAAUAUCGACGAGGGUUGUACGCGACUCUCAGUAGGGUGAACUAAAAAAUAUGGAAAAUGAAAAAAAAAAAUCUACAAAAUAAAAACUUUGCUCUUGCCAUCCGUGUGGCCUACUUUGCGAAAGAGAUUGGUGGACGUGCUCUCGCUCAAUGUGCUUCGACGGAUUUACACGUUUAACAUACAACAUGCGAGGCAUUCCACGUCAUUUCGUUCAGCCGUGACUUCGACAAUUUAUAAUUCUUUUACAAUUUUUCUAGAAAAUACUCUCCAAUUGACUUGUCAAAAAUUUUCACCGCAUCGAUUUGUUUUCAUGAUAAUUUGUAUAUUCAGAAAAGAAAAGAAGAAACAGAAUGGACCGGCGUUGUCAACGCUCUUUUGGCAUCAGAAGUAUAAACCUUUCUCUUCUUUACUUGAAUAAUUGCAAUUUUUUCCGAAAAAUUCUAGUUUUAUAAAAUUCUAAAAUUCAAUAGCAUGGCCAAUUUCGCGAUUGUUCAUGCUGAUAUGAUUAAAGGGGCCCAUAUUUUUUUUUAUUGAACUUUCCUUCGGAUAAUCAAAAUUUUUAUUGCAUGUUUUCGAACCUCGCAAAUUCCGAGUUGUUUUUUUUCUUUUUUUAAGAGACGUGAGAUGAAAAAUCUAAAACAUGAUAAGUGUCCCGUUUGAGUGGAAUAACGUGGAACGUUUCGUAUCUUCUGAAUUACAUAAUACGGAGUAUCUACAACGGGAACUUGUACCGUACGUCCCGAGACCGAGUAUACAAACAAAAAUAUACUGUAAAUCAUGUA
RNAcentral lists this long non-coding RNA (1584 nucleotides) under Venturia canescens. RNAcentral's name for it is "uncharacterized LOC122412001". The record is from RNAcentral. Lineage: Eukaryota; Metazoa; Arthropoda; Insecta; Hymenoptera; Ichneumonidae.